UAUUUAGAAAAUUAAAUUGAAGCAGUUAAACUACUUCUGUGGAUUUUAAUAAGUCUUUCAUUACUGGUGAGCAGCCCCAAAUCAGUGGUGGUCAGGUUCUCAGAGAAGAGCUCCCUCUGUGUCUCAUUCUGCUGCCCUCCAGUGGUUGGUGCUGAUAGAGUCUCCUCUUCUGGAAUGUGUGUAUUUCUUUCUCUUUAUUUACAGUUGGGGGUGUUCCUUUUCUUUUUAAAGCA
This 233-nucleotide long non-coding RNA is filed under the name Bos taurus (domestic cattle). RNAcentral describes it as "long non-coding RNA NONBTAT018833". The record is from RNAcentral. Lineage: Eukaryota; Metazoa; Chordata; Mammalia; Artiodactyla; Bovidae.